AAAAAUUUCAACAUAAACUUCCAAAUGAACAACAAACAAUACCUUCGCACAGGACAAUCAAAUCACGAUUUUAGACAUUGAGAGAAAUGUUAUGCACAAGACCUCCUAACGAACAAUAAUCAAACACAUAGACAAGGAAUUCGGGCAAAAUAAUCAGAAAAUCCACGUUUGACAAAAACGAAUAACAGCGAGAGUUAACAAAAUUUCAAUGAUAGAACUUACGAAUUUACCUCUCAAUCGAUGCAACGAAAAACUAGAAUUCUCAAUUCGGCCUAGUAACAAUUACGAAAACAAGCAAAAAGAAAAAGAACAACGAAGUAAAAGAAAGAAAGGGAAAAAAAGAAAGGAAAAGAAAAGAGGAAAAAGAAGAGAAACGAACGUGAAACUCAUUUUAAAAUUAAAUCAAAACUAACAAACUUUACCAAGCAGCAAAAUUUUUCCUUAAUGCAUAUGCAGAGACUCUAACAUAAGACCAACAAGUAUGCAUAAGCUUAACCAC
RNAcentral lists this long non-coding RNA (499 nucleotides) under Gossypium raimondii (Peruvian cotton). Its description in RNAcentral is "long non-coding RNA (GRAI_LNC001619)". Lineage: Eukaryota; Viridiplantae; Streptophyta; Magnoliopsida; Malvales; Malvaceae. The record is from RNAcentral.